RNAcentral lists this ribosomal RNA (403 nucleotides) under uncultured Iamia sp. Its description in RNAcentral is "bacterial SSU rRNA". It matches the Rfam family "Bacterial small subunit ribosomal RNA", at positions 355 to 774 of the family's 1533-position model. Lineage: Bacteria; Bacillati; Actinomycetota; Acidimicrobiia; Acidimicrobiales; Iamiaceae. The record is from RNAcentral.
UGGGGAAUCUUGCGCAAUGGGCGAAAGCCUGACGCAGCAACGCCGCGUGGGGGAUGAAGGCUCUCGGGUUGUAAACCCCUUUCAGCAGGGACGAAUCAAGACGGUACCUGCAGAAGAAGCCCCGGCUAACUACGUGCCAGCAGCCGCGGUAACACGUAGGGGGCAAGCGUUGUCCGGAUUUAUUGGGCGUAAAGAGCUCGUAGGUGGCUAAGUAAGUCGGAUGUUAAAUCCCCAGGCUCAACCUGGGACACCACCCGAUACUGCUCUGGCUAGAGUCCGGUAGGGGAGCAUGGAAUUCCUGGUGUAGCGGUGAAAUGCGCAGAUAUCAGGAGGAACACCAGCGGCGAAGGCGGUGCUCUGGGCCGGAACUGACACUGAGGAGCGAAAGCGUGGGUAGCAAACA